This 466-nucleotide ribosomal RNA is filed under the name uncultured bacterium. RNAcentral's name for it is "partial 16S ribosomal RNA". It matches the Rfam family "Bacterial small subunit ribosomal RNA", at positions 28 to 505 of the family's 1533-position model. The record is from RNAcentral.
GACGAACGCUGGCGGCGUGCUUAACACAUGCAAGUCGAACGGAAAGGCCCUGCUUUUGUGGGGUGCUCGAGUGGCGAACGGGUGAGUAACACGUGAGUAACCUGCCCUUGACUUUGGGAUAACUUCAGGAAACUGGGGCUAAUACCGGAUAGGAGCUCCUGCUGCAUGGUGGGGGUUGGAAAGUUUCGGCGGUUGGGGAUGGACUCGCGGCUUAUCAGCUUGUUGGUGGGGUAGUGGCUUACCAAGGCUUUGACGGGUAGCCGGCCUGAGAGGGUGACCGGCCACAUUGGGACUGAUAUCCGGCCCAGACUCCUACGGGAGGCAGCAGUGGGGAAUAUUGCACAAUGGGCGGAGGCCUGAUGCAGCACCGCCGCGUGCGGGAUGGCGGCCUUCGGGUUGUAAACCGCUUUCGCCUGUGACGAAGCGUGAGUGACGGUAAUGGGUAAAGAAGCCCCGGCUAACUACG